UUUAGAAGACUGCCAUUAUACGUUCAAGUUAGAAGCAUUGUUGAAAAGAAAAGAUAUUCUUUUUAUCCAGCGGAGUGCCGGUGGUAUGGGUGAGUGCCACCCUUUGAUUCGAGACAUCUGGGCCAUGGUCUGUGGCGAGGUGGCAUUCCAGGCUAAGCAUGUUUAUAGAGAGGCCAACUAGGCUGCAGACUAGGUGGCUUUAUAAGUGGCCAACCACUCCGGAGAUACCUUUUGUUGGAAAGAGGGAGUUGCCCAGUGCGCUCUAGGAUAAGUUGUCUUUUGACUUUUUUGAAUGUAUCUGUGCUAGAAUUGUAUGAAUCAUCUAUCUCAACCACGAAAAAAAAAGAAUAUCUCCUUUGCAUUUAAACAAGGUUUAUGCUAUCUGGAAUACUUUAUUGUUGGCAGGCCACCAUGUUUGGAUAAUAACUGCAAUAAAUGAUUUUGAUGACUGGGCUUGGAGAGUGAAUGAGGAUUUGAGCAUUAUAUAUGAGUUCUUUUGGGAAAAAAUUUGAGGAGUGCUGAAAACAUGAAAAGAGUAG
Molecule: long non-coding RNA, 539 nt
Filed under: Phoenix dactylifera (date palm)
Lineage: Eukaryota; Viridiplantae; Streptophyta; Magnoliopsida; Arecales; Arecaceae
Description: long non-coding RNA (PDAC_LNC022194)
Source: RNAcentral